Molecule: ribosomal RNA, 497 nt
Filed under: uncultured bacterium
Lineage: Bacteria
Description: partial 16S ribosomal RNA
Rfam family: Bacterial small subunit ribosomal RNA
Source: RNAcentral
GAUGAACGCUGGCGGCGUGCCUAAUACAUGCAAGUCGAGCGAACGGACGAGAAGCUUGCUUCUCUGAUGUUAGCGGCGGACGGGUGAGUAACACGUGGAUAACCUACCUAUAAGACUGGGAUAACUUCGGGAAACCGGAGCUAAUACCGGAUAAUAUUUUGAACCGCAUGGUUCAAAAGUGAAAGACGGUCUUGCUGUCACUUAUAGAUGGAUCCGCGCUGCAUUAGCUAGUUGGUAAGGUAACGGCUUACCAAGGCAACGAUGCAUAGCCGACCUGAGAGGGUGAUCGGCCACACUGGAACUGAGCAACGGUCCAGACUCCUCCGGGAGGAACCAGUAGGGAAUCUUCCGCAAUGGGCGAAAGCCUGACGGAGCACCGCCGCGUGAGUAAUGAAGGUCUUCGGAUCGUAAAACCCUGUUAUUAGGGAAGAACAUAUGUGUAAGUAACUGUGCACAUCUUGACGGUACCUAAUCAGAAAGCCACGGCUAACUACGUG